ACGCACGCUGGCGGCGUGCUUAACACAUGCAAGUCGAACGGAAAGGCCCCUUUGGGGGUACUCGAGUGGCGAACGGGUGAGUAACACGUGAGUAACCUGCCCUUGACUUCGGGAUAACUUCAGGAAACUGGGGCUAAUACCGGAUAGGAAACCUUGCUGCAUGGUGGGGGUUGGAAAGCUUCGGCGGUUUUGGAUGGACUCGCGGCUUAUCAGCUUGUUGGUGGGGUAGUGGCUUACCAAGGCUUUGACGGGUAGCCGGCCUGAGAGGGCGACCGGCCACAUUGGGACUGAGAUACGGCCCAGACUCCUACGGGAGGCAGCAGUGGAGAAUAUUGCACAAUGGGCGGAAGCCUGAUGCAGCAACGCCGCGGGCGGGAUGACGGCCUUCGGGUUGUAAACCGCUUUCAGCAGGGGCGAAGCUUGUGGUGACGGUACCUGCAGAAGAAGCACCGGCUAACUACGUG
This 464-nucleotide ribosomal RNA is filed under the name uncultured bacterium. RNAcentral's name for it is "partial 16S ribosomal RNA". It matches the Rfam family "Bacterial small subunit ribosomal RNA", at positions 29 to 507 of the family's 1533-position model. The record is from RNAcentral.